GGGGAUGCCAGGUCUCGACGGGAGAAGCUGGUUCCGGAUUGCGAGCCGAGAGAUACCGACCUCGUAAAAUCAGUAUAAAACAACAAGUGCCAAUCGCACAAGUUACGCUACUCUUCCUUUAGCUGCAUAAGCUAAUCGAUGAUAGCAUGACCUCCUUUCUGAGGUCACGUCCCCUGGAGUCGUUUUUCUGACCGAAUCCAGCCAGGAUGUCAUAGAAGUCAGAAUGCUGACCGUUGAUUCGUGAGACGGUCCUAAGAGAGCCAUUGGGCUCAAACGAAUGGUUUGCCGGUAGUUGCGCAGAACACCUUAAGGCGAAUGAGACCAAAUCUUCUGCUACGCUCGUAGAGAUUCGAGAAUCUAAUCUUUCGGACGCGGGUUCGAUUCCCGCCAUCUCCACCU
This 399-nucleotide transfer-messenger RNA is filed under the name Anaerolineaceae. Its description in RNAcentral is "T78 sp012514645 Standard tmRNA". It matches the Rfam family "transfer-messenger RNA". From Rfam's summary of the family: Bacterial tmRNA, also known as 10Sa RNA or SsrA, is named for its dual tRNA and mRNA-like properties. Its role is to liberate the mRNA from a stalled ribosome. Lineage: Bacteria; Bacillati; Chloroflexota; Anaerolineae; Anaerolineales. RNAcentral also lists the same sequence under 1 other name. The record is from RNAcentral.